Molecule: long non-coding RNA, 2839 nt
Organism: Zonotrichia albicollis (white-throated sparrow)
Lineage: Eukaryota; Metazoa; Chordata; Aves; Passeriformes; Passerellidae
Source: RefSeq, a predicted model, not a curated record
AUGAACUUGAAUGUCUUCUGCUCCAGGACUUACAUCCAUUCAUGUUCUUAUCUAAAACAUUUUAAAAGGCUCAUGCAGCAACCUUCUAAUUUUCUAUCACAUCACUUCCCAAUUCACAGGUUUCUUUAGAGAAAAUAAAAAAAACAAUCUGAAAAACUAUGCAGGCUACUGAAACAUGUGCAACCUCUCAGUUAUUGUAGGUCAGGAUGAUCUGGCAGUGUAGAGUGACAUGCUGGAAUCAGCAUUGCUUUGGACUGAGAGGAGGAGCAGACAGCAAAAGCUCAGUGUCCUCAGCAGACACAGAUCUGCUUCUUCAGUCACUUACAGAAGCAAAUCUAUGAAGGCAGAGGAGGGGGUGAUUUCCUGCAACCUUUCCAGUCUGUUUUCAGAACAAGUAUUUUCAUGGGUGGAGGAGAUCCUUUCAGAUAAAUUUGUGGAAAACCAGAAAGAUUUUCAGAAUGUUUUGCAGUCCUGUGAUCCUGAGUGUACAGGCACAAUGAAUAGAAGUCCUACAGCUUCUACAGCUACAGUUGUGUUGUCCCUCUUUGCCAGAUCAACAGUUUGGGAGGCAAGUUGAUGGUGUGUGAAUUGUAACAGGUUUAAGUGCAAUGCCAAGUGCAAGGCAGCCCUGCCUCCAAUGCUAUAAAUAAGAAGCAGCUCUGCAAGUCAGGAAGAUGCUGUGUGCUGCAAGCAGAAAUUAUACAGUGUGGCUCAAAGAUGCAAAAUACUCCUGAAGCAGCUGGAGAGUAAUUAAAUCAAUGGAGAAGACAUGCCAGGAUGCCCAGUUCUGAUUUUAAUACUUUGAAAUUUGUCAUCUGCAGCUUUGUCUGGGAACAAGUUCACUGUUUAAUCACUCAUGGUCUGCAAAAGGGUAAAUUCAGGGAUUACCUCCAAGAUUUCAAUAAUGCCUUCCAUAAAGGAUAAAAAUAGAGAUGGCUAUGUAAAAAUGUGUGGCCUGCACAAGACAUUACAAGAAUUCAAGCCUUAUCUUGAUGAUAAUGAUUUCAGCAGUUUUCUAAACAGCUUAGGAAUCAGCAUUCAUGACAGCAAGCUCUCUUAUUUUGAUUUCCUGAGAGCAAUUGAGGAUGGCAGAGCAUCUGAAUACCAGCAGAAACAAAAGCAGGCUGUACCACCUGCAAGCUUUGCAGAGCUCAGCGUACAACAAACCCUAAUAAAGAUAAAGGAAACAGUUACAUCAUCUUAGGAUUUGUUGUAUAAGCCUACUGAAAUGCAGCAUCCUCUAGAGGAAAUAGCUCUUCCUGCCACAGCAAGAUUGUUAUCAAGCAUGGGAAAGAACAAUCAAAAAAACCUUGAAGAAAACCCUGCCAUCACAAAGAACUCUAGAGCUGUGUCAUCUGCACCUGCAGUUUCAGGCCCAGUUUAAGCUCGUGCUUUUAGAGGCGGAUCCUGUAUCCCCAGCAGUGUGGUCCUGCCUUCUGCCUUGGUCAAAAGCAGCCCUUUUCUUCUGGCCCUGUGACCUGAGGCAAGGAGCAUCGAUGUUGUAAAAGCCUGGCCAGCUGUGUGUGGCCACAGGGGACCUGCUGCCUGCACAGGAGAGGGAAAAGGAACAGUCCCUGAGAGGAUAAUGGGGAUGGAAACCUCCUGUCACCAAUUGGUGGAUUAUCAAUGGCUUCAUUUCUGAAACCUCAUCUGUGCAGUCAAGGAUAACACAGCUCCCAGCAAACACGCUGCUAGUGAUGUCCCUGGAAGUAGAAUCCAAAGAAGAGUUCCACAGAGGUGCUGCUGCUUUACAGAAAUCUCUUUUCACACUAUCCAGAGGCUCCUGGAAUGUUUGUUCCAAACUUAUUGGGGUCACAUUGCCACAACUUUGAUCACAACAAACUGACCCACAGCUUUUCUAGACUCUGGUAUUUCUGCCACUCUCUUGAACUGCUGUCUCCAAAUUGCUGCUGCUGCAACUCUUCCCUAAACAGUUUCCCCUGGGAAACCUAUGGAAAACUCCCACAAGGAAUAGGCUGGGAAUUUUGUGCAAGGGAGGAUGAGAAGAAAGUAAGCCUUCAGGAUGACCUGAAGUUAAUGAGGAUGAAAGGCUAUUGAGUCCUUUAUAGAGCAGAAAAUGAACUUGCCUCACCAACAGUCAUGGUAGGAGUGACAAAAGGCAAAUUGAAUAUACUCAGGCAUUUUCUCUGUUGGAGAAAGAUAACAGUGGAGUAAGUAAGAACUGAAAUUUCAUCAAGUACUUGGCCAUUUCCCCUUUAAAUGAUGAGACAAACAGUUCAGGCACCUUCUCAAGAACCCCAGCUUUUCAGCAGCUCUCUGACCACAGAAAGCAAUGCACAACUUCCCCAGGCACUGUCCUGGAAAAGGCUGUGAGAAGAUCAGAGAAAAGAAUGACAAACAAUUGUUAUCUUCACUUGCUGCACCUGUUGUUGUGAACAUGUGGAAUGUGUUAAGGAGAUCUGCCGCACCAAAGGGUGGUUUCUGAAUUGGCCAGUGGUGAUGGUGUUUAGAUUGAUGGAACAAUUGGGUCCACCUGUAUUGUGGCUGUCUGUAAGGGCAAUGGGUUUCUUAAUAAGUGUAGUGUAAUAAAGUGAUUGAUCAGCCUUUGGAGAAUCAUGGAGUCGAUGCUAAUUGUUACCCAGCUAGAGGCCUGCAGCAACACCUCUCAGUCUGCCUUUUCCAGCAGGAAGCAGGUGUGAGUAGAUCUGAGCGUUCAGGAGUCCAAAUGAUUUCUUUACAGCUAAUUUCUGAACCUGGCUAAGGAUGUGAAAGCUGGUUACUAGAAAAGAGUACUAACUUGCAGGUUAUGUCCUAAGAAAUAAACCAUGUUUCAUUUUUGAAAGUACAUGCUCGAACCACAAGUAAAAUGAAAAAAAAA